Molecule: long non-coding RNA, 773 nt
Organism: Amphibalanus amphitrite
Lineage: Eukaryota; Metazoa; Arthropoda; Thecostraca; Balanomorpha; Balanidae
Exons: 3
Source: RefSeq, a predicted model, not a curated record
UGAAGUAGAACCUGGAUCGGCAACUCCUCGAUGUUUUUGACCACCGCUAGGCGGCAGCACUAGCUACCGCUAAGCACGCGGGGGAGCGAGUGCUAUUCAAAACAAUGGUCGGCGCCGCGUCAUAGGAUCGUUUUACUUGUUUUUUGAAAAGUUCAGCUCCUUUGGAGCAGAUUAGAAGGUUUCAGAAGAUGGAGGAAGAUGGCAAGAUCAAAGAGAUGGGUUCAGUUUUCACGUCGUGCUGACUUGAUUGGCAUCUUGUGAUUUGUGAUGUGAUCAUUUCUCAUUUCAUCAUCGAGACCCUUGUGAGGAUGCAGGUGCACGCCCACUGCGGACACGUGACGGCAGCAGGCGGACCGGGUGUGAACUGGCUCAACCGAAAACUGUUUACGGCAUCACAGCGUGUGUAACCUGACAUACCUAUGGAUAUACCUAUUUAGCGCAUAAUGCGUUCGUGUGCAUUAUCGUGUUUGUAUUUAUUCCCCGAUAUACUGUGGUGGGAGAUGUGAAUUGGAAACAAACUUGGUGCUACGACACCGUUUAUAGUCAGUAGACAAUUCGGUCAUGCGACGGCAAAUAUAAGUUCAAUAUGGAAACAGUUUUUUUUUAACAAAACGUAUGGUAAGCUUAUAAUCCUGGAAUGCUUAUUGAAAGAAAUAUUAAGUGAUGUAGAUGUUCGUUAAUCGAUAUGACAGCAUUUGUCUUGUGAUUCUCGAAAUGGCUGUGGCAACGAUAUGGAUGUUUCACGGCGGACGGCACAUUCCCUGUGCCGGCGA